GCGAAAGUGGCGGAAUUGGUAGACGCACUGGAUUUAGGUUCCAGCGCCGCAAGGCGUGAGAGUUCGAGUCUCUCCU
This 76-nucleotide transfer RNA is filed under the name Gallionellales bacterium GWE2_58_10. RNAcentral's name for it is "tRNA-Leu". It matches the Rfam family "tRNA". From Rfam's summary of the family: Transfer RNA (tRNA) molecules are approximately 80 nucleotides in length. Their secondary structure includes four short double-helical elements and three loops (D, anti-codon, and T loops). The record is from RNAcentral. Lineage: Bacteria; Pseudomonadati; Pseudomonadota; Betaproteobacteria; Nitrosomonadales.